CAGUGUUUUACUUUACUUUACUUUACGUUACUUUGUCAUUCUUACCCUGCCACACAUCUGUUCCCCCAAACGCACCCAGCUUGGUCUUAAGCACGAUUAGUUAGGCAUGUAGUAAUAAACUACUGCCCUGCCACAAUUAUAACACACAAGCAUUGCUUCUCCUGACAUAUAACUGUUAUAAUCCUCUCGAUGUUUUGCUUAUGGUUAUCUACUUUAUUAUAAAUACGCUACUCUUGUUAGUAAUCCUAUUGAAUGCUUAAAU
Pelobates cultripes (western spadefoot toad) is the source of this 262-nucleotide non-coding RNA. NCBI's taxonomy places the organism in Eukaryota, Metazoa, Chordata, Amphibia, Anura, Pelobatidae. The record is from the annotation of a GenBank genome assembly.